This 253-nucleotide ribosomal RNA is filed under the name uncultured bacterium. RNAcentral describes it as "partial 16S ribosomal RNA". It matches the Rfam family "Bacterial small subunit ribosomal RNA", at positions 524 to 776 of the family's 1533-position model. The record is from RNAcentral.
UACGUAGGGGGCAAGCGUUGUCCGGAUUUAUUGGGCGUAAAGAGCGUGUAGGCAGCCAUGUAGGUCCGUUGUGAAAACUCGAGGCUCAACCUCGAGACGCCGAUGGAAACCAUGUGGCUAGAGUCCGGAAGAGGAGAGUGGAAUUCCUGGUGUAGCGGUGAAAUGCGCAGAUAUCAGGAAGAACACCCGUGGCUAAGGCGGCUCUCUAGUACGGUACUGACGCUGAGACGCGAAAGCAUGGGGAGCGAACAGG